Epinephelus moara (kelp grouper) is the source of this 1874-nucleotide non-coding RNA. The record is from the annotation of a RefSeq genome assembly. NCBI's taxonomy places the organism in Eukaryota, Metazoa, Chordata, Actinopteri, Perciformes, Serranidae.
AUGAUCCCAGGCUUCACCAGUGUGAUUUUCUUUGUGCUUUGGGCUGCAGAUGUUUCUCAGUCUGUGCUGAUCACUCAGUGGCCCCACUACAUCUCCAGUCCUCCCAGUGGCUCAGCAGAAAUGCACUGCUACCAGAAUGACACCGAUUAUCCAUAUCUGUUCUGGUACCGACAGCCGAGAGGAGAAAGUUUUCAGUUUAUUGUGUCUGUAGUAGCUGGGACUGUAAACUACGAAGAAGGAUUCAAAUCUGGUUUUCAGGCAGUGAAAUCAAGCGACAAGCAGUGGUCUCUGACAAUAACCAGCGUUCAGCAUAAAGAUGAGGCAGUUUAUCUGUGUGCUACCACUCAAUCGCUGUGUCAGAACGAAGCUUAUUUCGGCCAGGGGACAAAACUGACUGUUCUUGAAGAAAAUCUACAGAUCACCCCACCGACAGUGAAAGUGCUUCCUCCUUCAGAAAAAGAGUGUAAAAACAAGAGAGGCAAUGCGGAGAAGACCAUUGUAUGUUUGGCCAGUGGAUUCUACCCAGACCAUGUCAGUGUGUCCUGGCAGGUCGGUGGAGAAGACGUCACCACUGGUGUGGCGACUGACAACGCUGCCCUGCGGAGGAAGAACAAGACUUACACCAUCACCAGCAGGCUGAGGGUCUCUGCCAAAGAGUGGUACAACCCCAACACUGAAUUCAAGUGCACUGUCAGCUUCUACAAUGGGACAGAUACAGAAUAUAACUCAGAUUCAAUUUCUGGAGACAAAGCUAAAGAAGGUGUCCUGACAAGAGAGAAAUAUCUGAAGAUCACACAGACUGCCAAACUCUCCUACGGUGUUUUCAUCGUCAAGAGCAUGGUCUACGGAGUCUUUGUGGCGUUCCUGGUGUGGAAGCUUCGGAAUUCGAGUGGAAAGCGGAACCACUGAGAGCUGAGCUGAGCAGAUGCAUUCUGGGAAGUCGAAAAUGUUUUUGUAAAUAAGCGCUGAACUUUGUAUGUUGCAGUGUAUUUGCAUUCUGCUAAAAUAGAUGAACAGUCAUGUGUGUAUUCUUGUUAAAGGGUAACUUCGGUAUUUUUUUGACAGGCUCAUAUUAUGAUUAGAAGUGUCUGACAACAUUAUAGAAAGGAUCCCUGCAGAGAUAGACCUUUUUGUUAAAGAGUAAUAUCAUUUUUAACUAAAAACAGCCUCAAAAUCGCUAUCGUCAAAACCAGCCAGACUCCAUUCAAAUAAAUAGUAAUUUAAGCGAGUACAGAGGCAGCAUAUAUUCACAUUUAACUCUGUGAAUUGAAGGUUUGUUUCUACCAAACCAGAGUUGGUGAUUGCAGAACAGUGGAAAGACCAACCACAAUAAAUUUUCUGAGUUUGAUUUGGUUUCUGUUGGCUUUGAAUAAAGUCCGUUGUACAAUGAUAAAAUUACAGUUUAUUUAAAUGGAGUCUGGUGGGUGUGACGAUAGCGGUGUUUCUGUUUAAACAAAAAGGAUUUUACUCUUUAAUCUCUGUAGGGAUCCUUUCCAUAAGUUGUCAGACACCUAUACUACCAAUCUGAGCCUGUCAGUGGCAAAAACAAGCACUUUAAAUAGACUCAAAUUGCUGGUGCACAAUUGCCCAAUACUGUUACAUUGCAGCCUGUUUCGUCGCUGCUGGUUGCGCACUCUUGCUCAAUAUUAAACCAAUUUCAAGAAUUGUUGUUCCCAUCAGUCACUUAGACUCAAAAGCAUGGAUAUAUAAAGUCCAGGUUGGAAAAUACUGAAUUUGCCCUUUAAGUUAUAACUGACAUGUAGAUAUGUUGACAUCACAUUUUCAUAAAUACUUCUGAUAAUAAUUCUGUUUGUGGUUGCAAAUUGCUUGUUUGCUUAAUUUGCUUCUCAAUAAAAGUGUUUCAGAGGAUCAAA